CAAUUGGGGAAAUAUUUUAUUCAAACAAAUGCAUAACCAAAAUGGAUGGUUUUCUACUUAUUACCGAUCUUCCCACCGAAUAGAAAUCUAUUGUUUAUAAAUACUAGAGAUAAAGUAGUGACUUCAAAUAUUAAUGAAUAUCAGAGAGUUAUCCAUCAGAACAAUAAUCUUGCCUAUCUAUUAAAAAUAGGUGAAUUUAGGCCAGCAGAUUUAGUAAUGUGCCAAGCAUAAUUGGUAUAAGGAGCCAUAGAAACACUUAUUGAUGAUGGGUCUCAUGAGCAACCAACGAGGGAUGGUCAUAGUAAAGUAUACAAAUCACUUUCAGAUGUAAAUGAAGGUAAAGAAGGAUGGUUUAGAGAGACUCUGCUUGAGAAAUGGGUCAAUUACUCAUGGUGUCCUGUCAUUGUUGUGGGUCGUUCGCUUUCAUUACAUAUGUGGAUUACCACUAGACAUAGAGAUAAAGUUUUUUCAACUAUUUGUAAUUCGUGAUUUUUUUUUGAAAAACCCCACCCAUAUAUUAAUAAAAUUAAUAUGUUCAUACAAUCAUUCGUUGCAGCAUUUGUCACACAGGCCGGAACACUAUUAACAAGAGCACCAUCAGACCUAUUAAUAAAACUAAACUUAGCCACCUCAUGUGCCACUAUAUUAGCUUUCCUGCUAAUCUUGCAGAUCUUUAAAUUCGGCAACAUCUUAGAGAUACUCAAAGCUUCCUUCUUUAGGUCAACAAGGGGUGACCCGUCGAUACUGUCUUUUCCAAAAACAGAGGCCACAAAAGAACAAUCGGUUUCUAAAAUGAUGGGUUUGUGA
RNAcentral lists this ribosomal RNA (807 nucleotides) under Triticum aestivum (bread wheat). Its description in RNAcentral is "partial small subunit ribosomal RNA". Lineage: Eukaryota; Viridiplantae; Streptophyta; Magnoliopsida; Poales; Poaceae. The record is from RNAcentral.